CCAACCUGGUUGAUCCUGCCAGUAGUCAUAUGCUUGUCUCAAAGAUUAAGCCAUGCAUGUCUAAGUAUAAACAACCUUAUACUGUGAAACUGCGUACAGCUCAUUAUAUCAGUUAUAAUUUAUUUGAUGGUGAUUUACUACAUGGAUAACCGUGGUAAUUCUAGAGCUAAUACAUGCGUAAACUCCCGACUUAC
Molecule: ribosomal RNA, 194 nt
Filed under: uncultured eukaryote
Lineage: Eukaryota
Description: partial 18S ribosomal RNA
Rfam family: Eukaryotic small subunit ribosomal RNA
Source: RNAcentral